GAUGAAGAACGUAGCGAAAUGCGAUAAGUAAUGCGAAUUGCAGAAUUCAGUGAAUCAUCGAAUCUUUGAACGCACAUUGCGCCCGCUAGUAUUCUGGCGGGCAUGCCUGUCUGAGCGUCAUUUCAACCCUCGCCCCCGGCUUUUGCUGGGAGCGGUGUUGGGGAUCGGCCGCCCGUCACUGGGAGGCCGGCCCCGAAAUAGAGUGGCGACCACGCCGUGUGCUCCUCUGCGUAGUAGUAAAUCACCUCGCAGGCGGACAGCGGUGCGGCCUGCCGUAAAACCCCCAACUCUUUCUGGUUGACCUCAGAUCAGGUAGGAAUACCCGCUGAACUUAAGCAUAUCAAUAAGCGGAGGA
RNAcentral lists this unclassified non-coding RNA (355 nucleotides) under soil metagenome. RNAcentral describes it as "partial contains 5.8S ribosomal RNA, internal transcribed spacer 2, and large subunit ribosomal RNA". The stretch from base 1 to 120 matches the Rfam family "5.8S ribosomal RNA", at positions 35 to 154 of the family's 154-position model. The record is from RNAcentral.